This 997-nucleotide long non-coding RNA is filed under the name Homo sapiens (human). Its description in RNAcentral is "HSALNT0308728". Lineage: Eukaryota; Metazoa; Chordata; Mammalia; Primates; Hominidae. The record is from RNAcentral.
UAAGAAGUGUCUUUCACCUCCUGCCAUGAUUCUGAGGCUUCCCCAGCCAUGUGGAACUGCCCAGUAAAAGAUUAACAUCAAUAACUAAUAAUCAACUGGAACAAUACAAUGACAGUCAAUCUGAUGACCAAGAUGGCUACCGAGUGACGGAAGAGUGGGUAGCAUACACAGCAGGGAGACAUUGGACAAAGGAUGACUCACAUACCAGAUGGGACAGAACAGGCUCAUGGAAGGUUGCAUCAAGCUACUCACAGUGGAAAGAUGACGUGAAGAGACAGAAGACAGCCAGCCGCAAGCCAAGGGGAGAGGUCUGGACCAAACUUCUCCCUCAUGGCCCCCAGAAGGAACCAACUCUUCAGGAACCUCAAUUUUGGAUCUAGCCUCCAGAACUGUGAGGUAAUACAUUUCUGUUGUUUAAGCCACAGUGUGUGGUGCGUUGUUAUGGCAGUCCUAGCAAACUAAUACAGAAAGCCAGUGUCUUAGGCCUUGUGCCUCAGGAUAUCUCAUUCACCCUUUCUCUGCAAGGUAGUUAUUACCUUCUCAUCUAAAACUCAGGAGGCUUGCCUAUGGACUCACAGCUGCCUGCUGCAAGAGAUUGGACUUAACCUGUGUUUGACUCCAAGUUGAGUGGUUUUCACUUUUCCAAAAACAAAUCCAGGAAGCUAAGGGAAAUGCACUACUUUCCUUAAAAAGGAAAAAUAUGAACAUUUUGAGUGUUAUACACAAAAAAUAAUGUUAUAAACACCCAUGUACCCGCCACCUAAAUUUAAUAAAUGUUAACAUAUAUUUCCCUUACAUCUUCUUAAAUAAAUAAACGAUUACAGAUACUUCUCUUAGGCUUCUGUCUGUAGAUCAUUCCGUUUUCUCCUCCAUAAAGGCAAACACAGCCACUAAUUUGAUUUAUAUUCAGUUCCUAUUUUAAUAUUUUCAUGAUACAUUUAUCCAUAAAUAAUGUGGUAUUCCAUGUAUUCUUAUAAAACAAAAUAAAUGGUAUCAU